UGACCAGACUCCUACGGGAGGCAGCAGUGGGGAAUAUUGCACAAUGGGGGAAACCCUGAUGCAGCGACGCCGCGUGAGUGAAGAAGUAUUUCGGUAUGUAAAGCUCUAUCAGCAGGGAAGAUAAUGACGGUACCUGACUAAGAAGCCCCGGCUAACUACGUGCCAGCAGCCGCGGUAAUACGUAGGGGGCAAGCGUUAUCCGGAUUUACUGGGUGUAAAGGGAGCGUAGGUGGCAGGGCAAGUCAGAUGUGAAAACCCGGGGCUCAACUCCGGGAUUGCAUUUGAAACUGUAGUUCUUGAGUACUGGAGAGGCAGACGGAAUUCCUAGUGUAGCGGUGAAAUGCGUAGAUAUUAGGAGGAACACCAGUGGCGAAGGCGGUCUGCUGGACGGCAACUGACGCUGAGGCGCGAAAGCGUGGGGAGCAAACAGGAUUAGAUACCCCGGUA
RNAcentral lists this ribosomal RNA (447 nucleotides) under uncultured bacterium. RNAcentral describes it as "bacterial SSU rRNA". It matches the Rfam family "Bacterial small subunit ribosomal RNA", at positions 328 to 792 of the family's 1533-position model. The record is from RNAcentral.